CCUACGGGGGGCAGCAGUGGGGAAUAUUGGACAAUGGGGGCAACCCUGAUCCAGCCAUGCCGCGUGUGUGAAGAAGGCCCUCGGGUUGUAAAGCACUUUCAGUGAGGAAGAACGCCUGGUGGUUAAUACCCAUCAGGAAAGACAUCACUCACAGAAGAAGCACCGGCUAACUCCGUGCCAGCAGCCGCGGUAAUACGGAGGGUGCGAGCGUUAAUCGGAAUUACUGGGCGUAAAGCGCGCGUAGGUGGCUUGAUAAGCCGGUUGUGAAAGCCCCGGGCUUAACCUGGGAACGGCAUCCGGAACUGUCAAGCUAGAGUGCAGGAGAGGAAGGUAGAAUUCCCGGUGUAGCGGUGAAAUGCGUAGAGAUCGGGAGGAAUACCAGUGGCGAAGGCGGCCUUCUGGACUGACACUGACACUGAGGUGCGAAAGCGUGGGUAGCAAACAGGAUUAGAUACCCCUGUAGUC
Molecule: ribosomal RNA, 465 nt
Filed under: Vreelandella stevensii
Lineage: Bacteria; Pseudomonadati; Pseudomonadota; Gammaproteobacteria; Oceanospirillales; Halomonadaceae
Description: partial 16S ribosomal RNA
Rfam family: Bacterial small subunit ribosomal RNA
Source: RNAcentral